CACAAAUAGGAGAAAAAGAAAAAUGUGUGACGUUAGACUAUUACCAUUCGUUCACUUUUCCUACUGAGUUAGCUUUAGCAUGGCUCGUAGGUGUAUUGUCCUCGGUUGUCCAAAAUCUAAUGGAUUACACAACUUCCCAGUGGACUUGGAAAUUAGGCAAAAGUGGUUUAGUGCAAUUGGCAUUGAAUCCAGCGAACUCCGUCCUGGUGAUGGGAUUUGCAAUGAACAUUUCACUCGGGAUUGUUUUGCUAACUUCAUCGAGGUUGAAAUGGGUUUUCUUAAGCGCCUCCGACUAAAGAGCCACGCUGUGCCAACGCUUGCUCUUCGGCGAUUGAGUCAACAGUAUCGCCGUUUGGAGCCUAAAGUUCCUCAAGAAAUUGGCUGUCCCACUGCACUAGUCACAUGCAUCUGCAAGUCUGAAGGUCUCUAAACUUUAAAAAGUAGUUAUCUUUACACUUGUGCGUCUGCAUUUUGUACCCAUAGCUGUAUACCUUGUUUUGAAUUAAUAAUUAUUUUGUAAAGGGACACAAGUAAAAGUUGGAAACAGAAGUGUAUCAUGUGACACUGGGAUCUUGACAGAGCAUUCUUUUUCAGAAAGUCGCAGGGCUUGCUCGACAUCAUUAAAAAGGAAGAGAUGGGAAUGGUCCACUAAUGGCUCGAGCAACCAGAUGGAUGGCGGUCCAAGCACUGGGAAUUGCACAAGCACCUGUGAAGUCUCUCCUAACACUGGGAAGAAGUACAUUGUUAAUGAAGACCAGUUGCUGAAGCUUUUCCAAAGGUGUCCUGUUUGCAGCCAGACCUGCACUAUUCAAAAAUCAACAGAUGGGACUAUCCUCCGUGUCAAUCAGCGGUGUCCUCGCUGUGACUACCAUAAUGAAUGGUCCAGUCAGCCAUUGGUUAAUGACAUUCCUGUAGAGAACAAUGAGCUCAGUGCUGCCAUUCUUGUCAAUGGUUCUUCAUCUAGUCAGAUAUCCAAGGAAAGGAACUCCAGUCCGGACCAAGCAGAACCAGAACCUCCACAGAUCAAAGAGGAACUGUGCAGCAAUCAGGAAGGAAAGGAGCUGCUCCUGAACCUGCAGACUGAUGUGAAGGAGAAGAUUAAGUCUGAAUGUGAAGAGACAUUGAAAGUAUGUGGGAACAUCAUGUCUAACUUCAAGGCAGAGUUGGAUCAGGACUGCAGUCUGCAGAACACCAUCAGGAUUCCUGAAACACAGCUUCAAAGAAAAGGUACGUGAUCUCCUGUUCUGGCUAAAAAUCCGAACAGAAAGAACUUUCUCAACGUUUUUUUGUGUUAACAUGAAAGUUGUUGACCAAGAACGACAAA
RNAcentral lists this long non-coding RNA (1324 nucleotides) under Oryzias javanicus (javanese ricefish). RNAcentral's name for it is "lncRNA (ENSOJAG00000008777.1)". The record is from RNAcentral. Lineage: Eukaryota; Metazoa; Chordata; Actinopteri; Beloniformes; Adrianichthyidae.